RNAcentral lists this ribosomal RNA (406 nucleotides) under uncultured bacterium. Its description in RNAcentral is "bacterial SSU rRNA". It matches the Rfam family "Bacterial small subunit ribosomal RNA", at positions 976 to 1381 of the family's 1533-position model. The record is from RNAcentral.
CAGACUUGACAUCCUGUGAACCUCUUAGAAAUAAGAGGGUGCCUUCGGGAGCACAGAGACAGGUGCUGCAUGGCUGUCGUCAGCUCGUGUCGUGAGAUGUUCGGUUAAGUCCGGCAACGAGCGCAACCCUUGUCUUCAGUUGCCAGCACGUAAAGGUGGGAACUCUGAAGAGACUGCCCCGGUUAACGGGGAGGAAGGUGGGGAUGACGUCAAGUCCUCAUGGCCCUUAUGUCUGGGGCUACACACGUGCUACAAUGGUAUGUACAAAGGGCAGCAAGCAUGCGAGUGCAAGCCAAUCCCUUAAAGCAUAUCCCAGUCCGGAUUGGAGUCUGCAACUCGACUCCAUGAAGUUGGAAUCGCUAGUAAUCGUGGAUCAGCAUGCCACGGUGAAUACGUUCCCGGGCCU